GGUUUCGUAGUGAAGUGGUUAUCACGUCGGUCUCACACACCGAAGGUCUCCGGUUCGAACCCGGGCGGAAUCA
Molecule: non-coding RNA, 73 nt
Organism: Xylariaceae sp. FL1272
Lineage: Eukaryota; Fungi; Ascomycota; Sordariomycetes; Xylariales; Xylariaceae
Source: the annotation of a GenBank genome assembly